UAUCUCUGUAGAGUCUGCAUAUCAAUAAGCGGAGGAAAAGAAACUAACAAGGAUUCCCUUAGUAACGGCGAGUGAAGCGGGAAGAGCUCAAAUUUGAAAUCUUCAAGGUUCUACCUUGACGAAUUGUAGUUUAAAGAAGUGUUUUCUGUUAGAUGAGUAGCAAAAGUUCCUUGGAAUAGGGACAUCAUAGAGGGUGAGAAUCCCGUAUUUGGUUAUUCAUUCUAGCUUUGUGAUACACUUUCAAAGAGUCGGGUUGUUUGGGAAUGCAGUCCAAAAUGGGUGGUAAAUUUCAUCUAAAGCUAAAUAUUGGCGAGAGACCGAUAGCGAACAAGUACCGUGAGGGAAAGAUGAAAAGAACUUUGAAAAGAGAGUUAAACAGUACGUGAAAUUGUCAAAAGGGAAGCGUUUGACACCAGUGUUGUUUUUCCGAAAAUCAAUUACGAAUGGCUUGAUUUUGUGUUGUAUUGACCUUAUCAGCUUUCUUCACUUUUUUCGAGUCUUUCUUAAUGCACUUUUCGGUUAACAAGUCAACAUCAAUUUCUUUUGUUGUAAAAGAGUAUUCGGAAGGUGGCUUUCUUUUCGGAGAAAGUGUUUAUAGCCCUAUACUUCUACAAUCGGAGAGAUUGAGGUCUGCAGCGUAGAUCCUUCGGGGUUAGAUACACUUAUGCUAAGUUGUAGCUUUUCAUAGACAACUUGUUGACUAUGUUUAGUCAUGCGGCUUACUCGCUUGUGCUAUUUUACCUACGCUUAGGAUGUUGACUGAUAUGUAGUCGUA
Molecule: ribosomal RNA, 775 nt
Filed under: uncultured Neocallimastigales
Lineage: Eukaryota; Fungi; Neocallimastigomycota; Neocallimastigomycetes; Neocallimastigales
Description: partial large subunit ribosomal RNA
Rfam family: Eukaryotic large subunit ribosomal RNA
Source: RNAcentral